UACGUAGGGUGCAAGCGUUGUCCGGAAUUACUGGGUGUAAAGGGUCCGCAGGCGGGCAAGCAAGUCGGUGGUGAAAGUCUUUGGCUCAACCAAAGAAUUGCCUUCGAUACUGCUUGUCUUGAGUUCGAGAGAGGAUAAUGGAAUUCAUGGUGUAGCGGUGAAAUGCGUAGAGAUCAUGAAGAACACCAGUAGCGAAGGCGGUUAUCUGGCUCGAUACUGACGCUCAGGGACGAAAGCGUGGGUAGCAAACAGG
This 253-nucleotide ribosomal RNA is filed under the name uncultured bacterium. RNAcentral describes it as "partial 16S ribosomal RNA". It matches the Rfam family "Bacterial small subunit ribosomal RNA", at positions 524 to 776 of the family's 1533-position model. The record is from RNAcentral.